This 2621-nucleotide ribosomal RNA is filed under the name archaeon. RNAcentral's name for it is "bacterial LSU rRNA". It matches the Rfam family "Archaeal large subunit ribosomal RNA". The record is from RNAcentral.
CAGUAACCGCAGGAAAAGAAAACAAAAGUGAUGCCGUGAGUAGAGGCGAUCGAAACCGGUAUAGAACAAACCGAAUUUGCUCAGAAAUGAGCACAAUAUGUGGUGUUCGGACUUGUGUCUAUCUUAGCACAUGAAUUUGAAGUUCCCUGGAAAGGGACACUAUAAAGGGUUAUAGUCCCGUAAAAGUAAGUGUGAAAGAUAAUGGCAAGUAUCCAGAGUAGGGCUGAUUGAAUUUUCAGUCUGAAUACGGGAGAUAUUUACUCCUAAUUCUAAACAUAACUUGAGACCGAUAGCGUAUUAGUACUGUGAAGGAAAACUGAAAAGAAUCCUUAAAAGGAGAUGAAAAAAACCUGAACCCAAGCAGCUAUAGUUAGAUGGCGAAUGCCUUUGAAAAAAGGAAUAAACCAUCGUCCGUUUUGAAAAACGGGGCAGGGAGUUUGUGGUAGUGGCGAGACUAAGUGCUUCAAGCACGCAGUCAAAGCGAAAGCAAUAGCGUCUAUGUACUUCUGUACAGAUGCGCAACGUAUGAAAGUGCGUUUAGUCACUGCUUCAAGAUCCGAAGCAAGAUGAUCUAGUCCUGGGCAGGGUGAAGUCGCGCGAAAGCGUGGUGGAGGCCCGUACCGUUGUUGGUUCAAACCACUCGAGUGACCUGGGAUUAGGGGUGAAAAGCCAAUCGAAUCUUGCAAUAGCUGAUUCCUCUCGAAAUGAGUGUUAGCUCAGCCUGGGUAUUAUCCAAUUAGUGAGGUAGAGAUACUGAUUACGGAGUCAAGGGGAGAAAUCCCCAGCUUCGUUGUCAAACUCCGAAUGCAUUAAUUGGUAUGCCUGGAGUGAGACUGCCGGAGUAAGUUUGGUAGUCGAAAGGGAAACAACCCAGACUAAAUUUAAGGUCCCUAAAAGCAACUAAGUGUAGAAAGUGGUUUUUGAUUUAAGACAGUGGGAAGGUAGGCUUAGAAGUAGCCACCCUUUAAACAACGUGUAAAAGCGGACCCAUCAAAAUCAGAAGCGCUGAAAAUGGACGGGACUAAGUUGCUUACCGAGGUUUUAGAUUUACAUUUUAUAUGUAAGUGGUAGAGAGGCGUCCUGUGUGGGCAGAAGUAUCUUCUUAAGAAGGUAUGGACCGCUCAGGAAUGAAGAUCCUGUCGGAAGUAGCAUAUUAGUCGGAUGAGAAUUCCGACCGCCUAAAGGGAAAGGGUUUCCCAGUAAAGCUUAUCUGCUGGGAGUUAGUCGAUCCUAAUUCCAACCCUAAUCAGAGUUGGGAGAAAGGGAAUACGGUUAAUAUUCCGUAACUAAUUAUUAUUUGCCUUACCUGUUCUUGGACACCUCUGGAUAGUCUUAGCACAAUUGUCGUUGUGUUUAACUGUAGAAUCAUGGGGAGUAUCGUCAAGAUGAGAACCAUGUGAAUGCAGGAAUAAGUCCUCAUUAGAGGGUUAUAGAUGAUUCCAAGGGUUCAUAAAAACUCGAACAGUUAGAAUUUUAAUUACUCGUACUCAGAACCGACACAGGUUCCCUGGCUGUAGAAGCCAUGGCGUUCGGACUAAUCAACUUUAGGGAAUUCGGCAAGUUAGCCAGGUAUCUUCGGUAUAACUGGUGCCUGAGCAGGGAUGCUUAGGUUGCAAUAACAAGGGAAACCCGACUGUUUAACAAAAACGUAGUUGACUGCUAAAUCGAAAGGUCUUGUAUAGUCAACGAAUCGUGGCCACUGGCGGUGUGUCAUAUCAGGUUCCAACCUGAAGAAGCCCCGCUGUAGGCCGGCCCUAACUCUGAGGGUCUUAAGGUAGCGUAAUCCCUUGCCAACUAAAUAUUGGCCUGCAUGAUAGAUUAACGAGGUUUCCGCUGUCCCAAAGUUGAUUCCGGCGAACCAACAUUUCUGGUGAUUAGGCCAGAGACCUUCAGUGGGAAGAGUAGACCCCGUAGAGCUUUACUACAGUUUGUUGUUGCGGUAUGUUUGUAGUUGUACAGCGUAGGCAGGAGACAUCGAGACUUUGACGUCAGUUAAAGUGGAGUCAUCAAUGUAACACUGCCCUUCCGCGUACGUACUGCUUAUAUUGCUUUAUUGCGAUAGACAUCAGCAGAUAGGUAGUUUGACUGGGACGGUACGCCCUCGAAAGGAUAUCGAGGGUCCUCAAAGGUUAACUCAAUCCGGUCGGAAAUCGGAUGAAGAGUGUAAAUGCAAAUGUUAGCUUGAUUGGAAAUCGAACAAUAAGAUUCCCAAAGACGAAAGUCUGAAUUAGCGAUACGCACGUUGGCGUAAAUAGCUGCGUGUGACAUGAGAAAAGCUACCUCGGGGAUAAUGGUGUCGUAGCGGGUGAAAGUUCGUAUUGACCCCGCGUGUUGCGGCGUCGCUGUCGGCUUGCCCUCACCUGGCUGUGCAGCAGCAGCCAAGGGUACUGGAGUUCACAGAUUAAAAGGGCACAUUAGCUGGGUUCAGAACGGCGUGAGCCAGUUUGGUCUAUAUCUGCUGAAGGUGUUGUCGUCUGAGAGGAAGGGAGUUUAAGUACGAAAGGAACAUACUCUCGAAGCCACUAGUCUACCAGUUGUCUGACAAGGCAGUGCUGGGUAGCCACGCUUUAAUGGAUAAGCCCUGAAAGCAUCUAAGGGCCAAGCCAUCCUCAAAAAUAGAC